Neofelis nebulosa (Clouded leopard) is the source of this 2842-nucleotide RNA transcript. RefSeq lists it as uncharacterized. Lineage: Eukaryota; Metazoa; Chordata; Mammalia; Carnivora; Felidae. The transcript is spliced from 3 exons. The record is from RefSeq and is a predicted model, not a curated record.
AAUAAAUGUGCGACAUGCAUGCAGGGGCACAUUCUACAGCCUUGAACACUCGAGGGACCAAUCUGGAAGCAUCCCAAGAGAGCUAAGUGGGGAAACAACAAAUGAAGGGCACCCGUGGGCCACCCUUUGGGGGAGAAUGAAUCGAUACACGUUUUUACUGAUUCGUCCCAGAACCGUCUCUGGAAGGAGGUGUCUGUACCUCUGUUUCUCCAGACACGCCGGCUGCCUCUGUUCCCUCCUGCCCCGCUGCCUCGGCCCGACCUGCCCCAGGGCACCGGGCUCCUUGAUUUCUGGUCUCCGACUCCAGUGGCCACUCCGGCCCCACCGACCUCACAGCGGCCUCGCCCUCCUCCCCGACUCUCCCCCGCACCAGGCACCACGGUUUUUUUUUCUGCUCCCUCUCUGGGAGCUCCUCCCCAGUCUCUACAUGGUGGAGCUCGCUUCCAGGUCCGUUCGCUCUCCCUGGGCUGCCUCGUCCACCCCAGGGCUUCACUCAUCAUGGAGCGUGGAUUAACAUCAUUCCCGCAAGAAGCGUCUCCCGGCCUCCGGACCGGCGGAUGUCAACUGAAGGUGAUUUCUGUCCCACCAGGGGACAUCGGGCAACGUCUGGGAGACAUUUUUGGGUGUCACAAAUGGGCCGGGAGUGUGUGUGGCUACUGGCACCCAAUGGGCAGAGGCCAGGGAUGCUCCUGAACGUCCCACAAGGCACGAGACAGCCCCCCCCACCCCCCACGACGCGGGAUGACCUGGCCCAGAAUGGCAGUAGCUCUGAGGUGAGAGACCCUGACCUGGACUAAAUCAUGGACCCGUGACACCCUUUCAGUACACACUCUAUUUCCACCGGGGAUCGCCCACCCCGAAUGUGAUUCCAUGCGUAACUGUGCAAAGAUAUUGGCCGAGUUCCAUUUCCUAAGCUUCGGAGGAUGCGUAAGUGAAUUACACUUACCGGCUCACGGUAUGUGAUACGUAACCAGCUCACGUUUAUCUAUCCCCCACCCCCAGGACCCAGCCCCAAGCGCAGAGACUGAUGGUGUGGAUUGGUAUGACACGCUCAGGGUGGGGCGGACCCGGACCAGGCAGGGGUGGCGUCCUGGCCUCCGGCUCUUCUGGGCCCUCUGUGCCACCCCAAGGUCGCCCCUUCCGUGUGGUCCCACCGCUCUGCACCCCACUCCGACCCUCGUCCCCACCCCAGGGGUCCUAAGAGACCCUUCCAGGCCAUCGGGCCCCAGCUUGCCCCUUGGUCAUCUUGGCAAACAGGCCACUCCCCCGUCAGCUGACCCAGGCAGGAGUGGGCACCUCGGUUCACCCAGCCGCCGAAGCAGGUCCACCCUUAGACCUGCUCCCUCCAUGCACACCGGCCACCCGGCUUCAGCGGUACCCAGUUUUGACCCACCUGGCCCUCGCCUUAAGCGUCUUUCCCUCCCAGUCCGUCCGUGACACGACCCGCACGGACAUCCUUCUGGCUGGUAUCACUUCCCGAUUAAAACCCCCUUCAGCGCCUCUUACGGCCCGUAGCCAGGAGCCCAAGUUCGCCAGCCUGGUCCACCUACCUUUCGCGGUCCACGACCCUCUCCAUGGCCCCCUCGCCAGCCACACCUGGCUUCAGCAAGCACACGCACCACUGUGCUUCAUGGCACGGGCCGGCCCUUCCUUCCCCUGCCCUGCGCUCCCCUGCCUCUCCUCUACCUGGAUGCUUGGAUAUCCCGUGUUCACCGUUAACAUCCACUUCUGACCUCUUCCUCACCAGUACGGCGACGCCUCAAAAGGUUAACCGCAGAAUUUCCAUCUGACCCGGCAAUUCUGCUGCUGGGAAUAUAUACAGAAGAACUGGGAGCAGGGACCCAAACGGAUUAUCUGCACACCCACGUUCAUGGCUAUACUACUGGCAAUGGCCAAAAGGCAGCAGCAACCCAAAUGUCCACCAACAGGUGAAUGGAGGAAGAAAAUGUGGUAUAUACUUAACGGUGGAAUGCUAUUCAGCCUUUAUUUUUUUUAAUUAUCUUUAAUGUUUACUUAUUUUUGAGAGAGAGAGAGAGAGAGAGAGACGGAGCACGAACAGGGGAGGGGCAGAGAGAGAGGGAGACACAGAAGCUGAAGCGGGUUCCGGGCUCUGAGCUGUCAGCACAGAGCCCGACGUGGGGCUCGAACCCGCGAACCGUGGGAUCACGACCAGAGCCGAAGUCUGGCGCUUAACCUACUGAGCCACCCAGGCGCCCUGCUAUUUGGCCUUUAUAGGGAAGGAAAUUCUGAUGCACCUAAUGAACUUUAAAACAUGAUGCUAAGUGAAGAGCCCAGAUGGGGGGCUCACAUGGCGUGUGAUCCUGCUUACACGUGGGACCUAGAACCGUCCGAUUCACAGAGGCAGAAAGAACAGUGGCAACCAGGGGCUGCGGGAUGGCGGGGAUGGGGAGUUAGUGUUUAACGGGUUUAGACUUUCAGUUAAUAUUCAGUGGGUACAGAGUUUAUAGGGCACACCUGUGGCUCUGCAAUUAAGUACUGAAUCUUUGUCCUCUCGGACCGAUGGUGGGGGUUCCUGAGGUUAAGCCCCAUGUCCGGCUCCCUGCUGACAGCGGGAGACUGGGAUUCUCUCUUUCCCUCUCUCUCUCUCCACCCCUCCCCCCAACUCUCACUCCCUUUCUCUCUCUCAAACUAAAUAAGCUUUUAAAUAAAAAUAGUAAUAACAUUGUUGUGCACACUUGAAAGCUGUCAAGAGCAGCUCAUAAAAGUCAACCUUGGGGGCAUCGCAGUUUGUGAGUUUGAGCCCCGCGUCGGGCUCUGUGCCGACAGCUCGGAGCCUGGAGCCCGCUUCGGAUUCUGUGUCUCCUCUCUCUCUCUCUCUCUC